RNAcentral lists this long non-coding RNA (353 nucleotides) under Elaeis guineensis (African oil palm). RNAcentral's name for it is "long non-coding RNA (EGUI_LNC000936)". The record is from RNAcentral. Lineage: Eukaryota; Viridiplantae; Streptophyta; Magnoliopsida; Arecales; Arecaceae.
UGACCAUCUAAUUAGUGUUAGUUUUCUUGCUGAGAACUUAUGGUUAACUUUCAUGGACAGCCAUUGCCUCCCGGAGUUGAUCCACUGCCACAUACGUCUUCAGCUUCUGCUUCAAUGAAUCCUUCAGUUUCUUAUCUUCCUCCACCUUCUGUGAACAUGCAUCAUGAUGGACAUCCUAACAACUCAGGAAGCCUCUUCCCUCUUAAUCCAUCUAAUCCAUCCUUUCCUAAAGCUCAAAGCCAGUGUCCUCACGUACAACCACCUUCCCAGUUUGUAUGUUCACCUGGUAGACUUCCUACACCAGCUGCUCAAAGUGUACCUGCUCAAGCAUCCUAUAGUUCUUCUCAUGGCAC